AGCCUGCAGCAGAUAUUGUAGGUGCUUUCUGCCCGGUGUGUGUAUUAACGGCCGCAGUACUUUGACUGUGCUAAGGUAGCAUAAUAAUUUGUCCUCUAAUUAGGGUCUGGAAUGAAUGAAUUAAUGGGGAAAAACUUUAUUUUUUUAAUAUGUAGAACUUACUUUUUAAGUGAAAAAGCUUAAAUUUUAAUGAGGGACGAGAAGACCCUUAAAGCUUUUAUUUGUUUUUGGCUGGGGCGGCUCAGGAGACACCCUCCUGAAUUUAUAACUCAAAUAUAUUUAACUUGAUUAAGCUACUUAAGGGAUAACAGCAUAAUCCUUUACAGGGUUUAUGACCUCGAUGUUGGACUAGGGAUAAACUAGGCUAGAAGCUUAGUUUAAUAGUUCUGUUCGAACUAAUUUACCUU
Molecule: ribosomal RNA, 407 nt
Filed under: Parvaplustrum wareni
Lineage: Eukaryota; Metazoa; Mollusca; Gastropoda; Aplustridae
Description: partial large subunit ribosomal RNA
Rfam family: Archaeal large subunit ribosomal RNA
Source: RNAcentral